GACCUGGUGAUUAUGGCGGAGUGGCUGCACCCGAUCCCAUCCCGAACUCGGCCGUGAAACGCUCCAGCGCCAAUGGUACUGCGUCUUAAGACGUGGGAGAGUAGGUCGUCGCCAGGUCU
Molecule: ribosomal RNA, 119 nt
Filed under: Hyphomicrobium sulfonivorans
Lineage: Bacteria; Pseudomonadati; Pseudomonadota; Alphaproteobacteria; Hyphomicrobiales; Hyphomicrobiaceae
Source: RNAcentral